RNAcentral lists this ribosomal RNA (605 nucleotides) under uncultured marine bacterium. RNAcentral's name for it is "bacterial SSU rRNA". It matches the Rfam family "Bacterial small subunit ribosomal RNA", at positions 8 to 596 of the family's 1533-position model. The record is from RNAcentral.
AGAGUUUGAUCCUGGCUCAGGACGAACGCUGGCGGCGUGCCUAAUACAUGCAAGUCGAGCGGACGGAUGGGAGCUUGCUCCCUGAAGUCAGCGGCGGACGGGUGAGUAACACGUGGGCAACCUGCCUGUAAGACUGGGAUAACUCCGGGAAACCGGGGCUAAUACCGGAUAACUCUUUCCCUCACAUGAGGGAAAGCUGAAAGAUGGUUUCGGCUAUCACUUACAGAUGGGCCCGCGGCGCAUUAGCUAGUUGGUGAGGUAACGGCUCACCAAGGCCACGAUGCGUAGCCGACCUGAGAGGGUGAUCGGCCACACUGGGACUGAGACACGGCCCAGACUCCUACGGGAGGCAGCAGUAGGGAAUCUUCCGCAAUGGACGAAAGUCUGACGGAGCAACGCCGCGUGAGUGAUGAAGGUUUUCGGAUCGUAAAACUCUGUUGUCAGGGAAGAACAAGUACCGGAGUAACUGCCGGUACCUUGACGGUACCUGACCAGAAAGCCACGGCUAACUACGUGCCAGCAGCCGCGGUAAUACGUAGGUGGCAAGCGUUGUCCGGAAUUAUUGGGCGUAAAGCGCGCGCAGGCGGUUCCUUAAGUCUGAUGUG